UCUUCACUGAGGCACGGCUAGUGAUGUG
This 28-nucleotide small RNA is filed under the name Bombyx mori (domestic silkworm). RNAcentral's name for it is "ovarian small RNA-30108". Lineage: Eukaryota; Metazoa; Arthropoda; Insecta; Lepidoptera; Bombycidae. The record is from RNAcentral.